GCCCCUGUAGCUCAAUUGGAUAGAGCAGGCGACUUCUAAUCGUCAGGUUGCGAGAUCAUACCUCGCCAAGGGCA
RNAcentral lists this transfer RNA (74 nucleotides) under Bifidobacterium callitrichidarum. Its description in RNAcentral is "tRNA-Arg". It matches the Rfam family "tRNA". From Rfam's summary of the family: Transfer RNA (tRNA) molecules are approximately 80 nucleotides in length. Their secondary structure includes four short double-helical elements and three loops (D, anti-codon, and T loops). The record is from RNAcentral. Lineage: Bacteria; Bacillati; Actinomycetota; Actinomycetes; Bifidobacteriales; Bifidobacteriaceae.